GGUUAAGCGACUAAGCGUACACGGUGGAUGCCCUGGCAGUCAGAGGCGAUGAAGGACGUGCUAAUCUGCGAUAAGCGUCGGUAAGGUGAUAUGAACCGUUAUAACCGGCGAUUUCCGAAUGGGGAAACCCAGUGUGUUUCGACACACUAUCAUUAACUGAAUCCAUAGGUUAAUGAGGCGAACCGGGGGAACUGAAACAUCUAAGUACCCCGAGGAAAAGAAAUCAACCGAGAUUCCCCCAGUAGCGGCGAGCGAACGGGGAGCAGCCCAGAGCCUGAAUCAGUGUGUGUGUUAGUGGAAGCGUCUGGAAAGGCGCGCGAUACAGGGUGACAGCCCCGUACACAAAAAUGCACAUGCUGUGAGCUCGAUGAGUAGGGCGGGACACGUGGUAUCCUGUCUGAAUAUGGGGGGACCAUCCUCCAAGGCUAAAUACUCCUGACUGACCGAUAGUGAACCAGUACCGUGAGGGAAAGGCGAAAAGAACCCCGGCGAGGGGAGUGAAAAAGAACCUGAAACCGUGUACGUACAAGCAGUGGGAGCACGCUUAGGCGUGUGACUGCGUACCUUUUGUAUAAUGGGUCAGCGACUUAUAUUCUGUAGCAAGGUUAACCGAAUAGGGGAGCCGAAGGGAAACCGAGUCUUAACUGGGCGUUAAGUUGCAGGGUAUAGACCCGAAACCCGGUGAUCUAGCCAUGGGCAGGUUGAAGGUUGGGUAACACUAACUGGAGGACCGAACCGACUAAUGUUGAAAAAUUAGCGGAUGACUUGUGGCUGGGGGUGAAAGGCCAAUCAAACCGGGAGAUAGCUGGUUCUCCCCGAAAGCUAUUUAGGUAGCGCCUCGUGAAUUCAUCUCCGGGGGUAGAGCACUGUUUCGGCAAGGGGGUCAUCCCGACUUACCAACCCGAUGCAAACUGCGAAUACCGGAGAAUGUUAUCACGGGAGACACACGGCGGGUGCUAACGUCCGUCGUGAAGAGGGAAACAACCCAGACCGCCAGCUAAGGUCCCAAAGUCAUGGUUAAGUGGGAAACGAUGUGGGAAGGCCCAGACAGCCAGGAUGUUGGCUUAGAAGCAGCCAUCAUUUAAAGAAAGCGUAAUAGCUCACUGGUCGAGUCGGCCUGCGCGGAAGAUGUAACGGGGCUAAACCAUGCACCGAAGCUGCGGCAGCGACGCUGAUGCGUUGUUGGGUAGGGGAGCGUUCUGUAAGCCUGCGAAGGUGUGCUGUGAGGCAUGCUGGAGGUAUCAGAAGUGCGAAUGCUGACAUAAGUAACGAUAAAGCGGGUGAAAAGCCCGCUCGCCGGAAGACCAAGGGUUCCUGUCCAACGUUAAUCGGGGCAGGGUGAGUCGACCCCUAAGGCGAGGCCGAAAGGCGUAGUCGAUGGGAAACAGGUUAAUAUUCCUGUACUUGGUGUUACUGCGAAGGGGGGACGGAGAAGGCUAUGUUGGCCGGGCGACGGUUGUCCCGGUUUAAGCGUGUAGGCUGGUUUUCCAGGCAAAUCCGGAAAAUCAAGGCUGAGGCGUGAUGACGAGGCACUACGGUGCUGAAGCAACAAAUGCCCUGCUUCCAGGAAAAGCCUCUAAGCAUCAGGUAACAUCAAAUCGUACCCCAAACCGACACAGGUGGUCAGGUAGAGAAUACCAAGGCGCUUGAGAGAACUCGGGUGAAGGAACUAGGCAAAAUGGUGCCGUAACUUCGGGAGAAGGCACGCUGAUAUGUAGGUGAGGUCCCUCGCGGAUGGAGCUGAAAUCAGUCGAAGAUACCAGCUGGCUGCAACUGUUUAUUAAAAACACAGCACUGUGCAAACACGAAAGUGGACGUAUACGGUGUGACGCCUGCCCGGUGCCGGAAGGUUAAUUGAUGGGGUUAGCGCAAGCGAAGCUCUUGAUCGAAGCCCCGGUAAACGGCGGCCGUAACUAUAACGGUCCUAAGGUAGCGAAAUUCCUUGUCGGGUAAGUUCCGACCUGCACGAAUGGCGUAAUGAUGGCCAGGCUGUCUCCACCCGAGACUCAGUGAAAUUGAACUCGCUGUGAAGAUGCAGUGUACCCGCGGCAAGACGGAAAGACCCCGUGAACCUUUACUAUAGCUUGACACUGAACAUUGAGCCUUGAUGUGUAGGAUAGGUGGGAGGCUUAGAAGUGUGGACGCCAGUCUGCAUGGAGCCGACCUUGAAAUACCACCCUUUAAUGUUUGAUGUUCUAACGUUGACCCGUAAUCCGGGUUGCGGACAGUGUCUGGUGGGUAGUUUGACUGGGGCGGUCUCCUCCUAAAGAGUAACGGAGGAGCACGAAGGUUGGCUAAUCCUGGUCGGACAUCAGGAGGUUAGUGCAAUGGCAUAAGCCAGCUUGACUGCGAGCGUGACGGCGCGAGCAGGUGCGAAAGCAGGUCAUAGUGAUCCGGUGGUUCUGAAUGGAAGGGCCAUCGCUCAACGGAUAAAAGGUACUCCGGGGAUAACAGGCUGAUACCGCCCAAGAGUUCAUAUCGACGGCGGUGUUUGGCACCUCGAUGUCGGCUCAUCACAUCCUGGGGCUGAAGUAGGUCCCAAGGGUAUGGCUGUUCGCCAUUUAAAGUGGUACGCGAGCUGGGUUUAGAACGUCGUGAGACAGUUCGGUCCCUAUCUGCCGUGGGCGCUGGAGAACUGAGGGGGGCUGCUCCUAGUACGAGAGGACCGGAGUGGACGCAUCACUGGUGUUCGGGUUGUCAUGCCAAUGGCACUGCCCGGUAGCUAAAUGCGGAAGAGAUAAGUGCUGAAAGCAUCUAAGCACGAAACUUGCCCCGAGAUGAGUUCUCCCUGAGACUUUAAGUCUCCUGAAGGAACGUUGAAGACGACGACGUUGAUAGGCCGGGUGUGUAAGCGCAGCGAUGCGUUGAGCUAACCGGUACUAAUGAACCGUGAGGCUUAACCUU
This 2904-nucleotide ribosomal RNA is filed under the name Escherichia coli. RNAcentral's name for it is "23S ribosomal RNA". It matches the Rfam family "Bacterial large subunit ribosomal RNA". The record is from RNAcentral. Lineage: Bacteria; Pseudomonadati; Pseudomonadota; Gammaproteobacteria; Enterobacterales; Enterobacteriaceae.